Molecule: ribosomal RNA, 701 nt
Filed under: uncultured eukaryote
Lineage: Eukaryota
Description: SSU rRNA
Rfam family: Eukaryotic small subunit ribosomal RNA
Source: RNAcentral
CUAAGUAUAAGCGACUUGUACUGUGAAACUGCGAAUGGCUCAUUAAAUCAGUUAUGGUUUCUUUGAUGGUACCUUGCUACUUGGAUACCCGUAGUAAUUCUAGAGCUAAUACAUGCAGGACUGCCCGACUUCGGAAGGGCUGUAUUUAUUAGAUAAGAAACCAUCUCGGGUCCGCCCGGUUGUGUGCUGAGUCAUAAUAACUGCUCGAAUCGCACGGCUCUACGCCGGCGAUGGUUCAUUCAAAUUUCUGCCCUAUCAGCUUUCGAUGGUAGGAUAGAGGCCUACCAUGGCGUUAACGGGUAACGGAGAAUUAGGGUUCGAUUCCGGAGAGGGAGCCUGAGAAAUGGCUACCACAUCCAAGGAAGGCAGCAGGCGCGUAAAUUGCCCGAAUCCUGACACAGGGAGGUAGUGACAAGAAAUAACAAUACAGGGCUACUUCUAGUCUUGUAAUUGGAAUGAGUACAACUUACAUCUCUUCACGAGGAUCAAUUGGAGGGCAAGUCUGGUGCCAGCAGCCGCGGUAAUUCCAGCUCCAAUAGCGUAUAUUAAAGUUGUUGCAGUUAAAAAGCUCGUAGUCGGAUUUCGGGUCGGGCCGAGCGGUCUGCCGAUGGGUAUGCACUGUUUGGCGCGGCCUUCUUUCCGGAGACCGCGGCUACUCUUAACUGAGCGGGCGUGGGAGACGGAUCGUUUACUUUGAAAAA